Molecule: ribosomal RNA, 253 nt
Filed under: uncultured bacterium
Lineage: Bacteria
Description: partial 16S ribosomal RNA
Rfam family: Bacterial small subunit ribosomal RNA
Source: RNAcentral
UACGGGGGGGGCAAGCGUUGUUCGGCAUUACUGGGCGUAAAGGGCUCGUAGGCGGCCAACUAAGUCGGAUGUGAAAUCCCCAGGCUCAACUUGGGAACUGCAUCCGAUACUGGAUGGCUUGAAUUCGGGAGAGGGAUGCAGGAUUCCAGGUGUAGCGGUGAAAUGCGUAGAUAUCUGGAGGAAUACCGGUGGCGAAGGCGGCAUCCUGGACCGACAUUGACGCUGAGGAGCGAAAGCUAGGGGAGCAAACGGG